Molecule: RNA transcript, 3537 nt
Organism: Rosa rugosa (rugosa rose)
Lineage: Eukaryota; Viridiplantae; Streptophyta; Magnoliopsida; Rosales; Rosaceae
Gene name: probable splicing factor 3A subunit 1
Exons: 5
Source: RefSeq, a predicted model, not a curated record
UUUAACAAAUUAGUACUCAAUUACGAAAUCGAGUUAUAUAAUCCUCUUAAGGAAUCUUGAGAAGUAUAAAUAUCCUCUACUCUCUCCUACACGGUUGCGCUCAGAAAGAAACCCUAGACGAGGUGCAAUCGUCGAAUUGGAUCCCUAAGGUUCAGAUAAGUACGGAGUUUGUUUUGAUGCCCUUUAGUUUGCUAUAAGCGUUCUGUUUGUUUGUCCGAAAGGAAAAAUGAUCGGUUCCAUAUUACCCUUGCCAGCUCCUCCUACUGAUGGAAACCUGGGGCCUUUACCGCUAGCCCAGGUCACUGAAGUGAAGAAUGAAGAGAAUGAAUUGAACGAGGAGCUGAACAGAGCCAACUCGGUGCCUGUCUCAGUUGCUACGCAUACUAGGACGAUUGGUAUCAUACAUCCUCCUCCCGAUAUCAGAAACAUUGUUGACAAAACUUCCCAGUUUGUCGCAAAGAAUGGACCAGAAUUUGAGAAGAGGAUUAUAGCUAGUAAUAACGGAAAUCCAAAGUUUAACUUUUUGAGUUCCUCAGAUCCGUACCAUGCCUAUUAUCAGCACCGGUUGUCUGAAUUUCGUGCCCAGGCUCAGUCUUCUGGCCAGCAACCUUCUUUGGAGCCUGAUGAUUCUGCUGCACCUGAAUCAGGCCUGCCAGCUCCAGCUGCUGAUGGUGAAGCAGAAACAACUAAGCCUGAUCCCUCUGCCCAGUUUAGACCGGUACGAAAAGUUCUUGAACCACCAGAAGCCGAGCAGUAUACUGUUAGGCUUCCAGAAGGGAUUACUGGAGAAGAAUUGGAUAUUAUUAAGCUCACAGCCCAGUUUGUUGCUCGAAAUGGGAAAUCAUUUUUGACAGGAUUGACAAGCAGAGAGAUCAAUAACCCCCAGUUCCAUUUUCUGAAGCCUACCCAUAGUAUGUUCAUGUUUUUCACUUCUCUGGCCGAUGCAUAUUCGAAGGUCUUGAUGCCUCCAAAAGGUUUGACAGAGAAGCUUAAGAAAGGUGUUGCAGACAUGACAACUGUGCUUGAACGCUGUGUGCAUCGGCUGGAGUGGGAGCGAUCUCAAGAGCAGGCAAGGCAGAAGGCUGAAGAUGAGAUAGAGCAGGAAAGGAUACAAAUGGCUAUGAUUGAUUGGCAUGAUUUUGUUGUGGUUGAAACAAUAGACUUUGCUGAUGAUGAGGAUGAGGAUUUACCUCCUCCAAUGACCCUUGAGGAGGUUAUAAGAAGAAGCAAGGUUACAGAUAUGGAAGAAGAUAUUAUUGAGCCUGGAAAGGAGAUGGAAAUGGAAAUGGAUGAAGAAGAAAUGCAGCUUGUUGAAGAGGGCAUGAGGCAAGCAAGACUUGAAGAGAGCAAUGAACAGAAGAAUGAGAAUAAGGUAACAGAUGAUCCUGAACCCCCAAUGAGAAUUGUGAAGAACUGGAAGAGACCUGAGGAGAGGAUUCCUGCUGAAAGAGAUCCAACAAAGGUUGUCAUUUCCCCGAUUACUGGGGAGCUUAUCCCUAUCAAUGAGAUGUCUGAACAUAUGAGAAUUUCGCUCAUUGAUCCAAAAUACAAAGAGCAAAAAGAAAGGAUGUUUGCGAAGAUUAGGGAGACUACUCUUGCUCAGGAUGAUGAAAUCUCAAGGAACAUUGUGGGCCUUGCACGAACCCGUCCGGAUAUUUUUGGUACUACAGAGGAAGAAGUUUCUAAUGCUGUCAAGGCUGAGAUCGAGAAAAAGAAAGAUGAGCAACCAAAGCAGGUCAUAUGGGAUGGUCACACUGGAAGCAUUGGCCGUACAGCAAAUCAGGCCAUGUCACAGAAUAUCAAUGGAGAGGAUCAGAACGAUGUUAACAAUCUUCCUGGUCCAGCAGCGCCUCCUCCAAGACCUGGUGUGCCUUCAAUUCCUCGUCCUCUUCCCCCACCACCUGGUCUUGCCUUGAAUCUUCCUCGUGUUCCUCCAAACACAGUUCAGUAUUCUGCUCCAUCUAGUGGUGGCCUCCCAGUACCUCAACUGAGGCCGCCAGUCCAAUAUUCAUCAGUUCGACCACCUGGACCUCCAAUGCCCAUGAGUUCUGGACAGCAGUCACUUUUGGUGAAUCGACCACCACCUAUGCAUCCAUCAAUGUCUAUGAAUGCUCCUAGUAAUCCGGUACCUCCUCCACCUGGUUCUCAGUUUACACCUAUGCAAGCUCCCCGGCCUUAUAUGCAAAUGAUGCCUCCACCACCUUCAAUGCAAAUGAUGCCUCCACCACCUAUGCCUCAUGGAAUGAUGCCUCCGCCACCUCCACCUGAGGAAGCUCCUCCACCGCUCCCAGAGGAACCUGAGCCCAAGCGGCAGAAGCUUGAUGACUCCAUGCUUAUUGCAGAAGAUAAAUUUCUGGCACAGCAUCCGGGGCCUCUUCGUAUCACCGUAUCUGUUCCCAAUGUUGAUGAAGGCAAUCUCAAAGGACAACUUUUGGAGAUCACAGUUCAGUCUUUAUCUGAAACUGUUGGAAGUCUGAAAGAGAAAAUUUCUGGGGAGAUCCAGCUUCCGGCAAACAAACAGAAAUUGAGUGCAAAACCUGGCUUUCUCAAGGACAAUUUGUCUCUUGCAUAUUACAAUGUUGGAGCAGGAGAAACGCUUGCUCUUUCAUUGAGAGAACGAGGUGGUAGAAAGCGAUGAACAGAUAUUUUCAUGAGGCUGAUUAAGAUCUGGUGUUUCGGCGAAUGUCUAUUGGACAAAGGGAAGUGUCGGUUCCUUUUGCUUAGCCGGAGCAAGUGAUUUGCUUAUAUAUCUAAUUAUUGCUCCUUUUCAUAAUGCAGUUUUUUUUUUUCUAUGGAAAGUAUGUGCUCAUAGUCGUAUUAUGAUUUUGAUAUCCCUGGCAGCAUUGUUGGUGUCAGAAGACCUUUAUUUAUUUUGAAAUAUUUUCAGUCUUCGCUUCCAAUUUUGUUGCUGAAAGAUUCUCUCGGUGAAUGUUGGUAUUUUGGGUCUUUCUUUUUAGUUUCACUUUUUUAGUUUAGCUUUUACAGCACCUUAAGCAAAACACUUGUUCCACAGAAGCUUGUAUUCUUAUUCACCCAAGUUAUCACUGAACCAGCCAGUAGCAAGCAGUGGCUGGUAGAGUUGGUGUUUUCUGAUUAUGAUUGUUAACUACAGGAUUGGGCUAUGGUCUGUGCAACAAGUUAGAUGUGUGCUCUUCAUGCAUCUAAACCAGCCUGGACUGGGACCACUGGGUUUGAUUGCAACAUCAUGUUAGAGGAACAAGCAGGAUUUUAUAUCUAAUUUUCUUUAGGAUUAUUACAGCAGUGCGCUGCUCUAAUUACGCUUGAGAUAGCAUAGGAAUCUGGCAGCACAAUCUGUGUUAAGCUAGCUGUUGAUUGGGAAUUUUUUCAUUGUUUCAGACCCACUCCUCUUUUUUCCCAUGUCAGAGAAGAUAUAGAAUAUUGCCCUUAGAGUUUGUGGAUGAGUUGGUCUAUUUUUUGUUGACAAUUCCCUUAAAGUCUGGGUGGCAAUUUUAGUCUUGUAUCUGUCACCCACCUUACAAGCAAGAUGAAAUUAAGGUCGUAUAUCCUAUUCUAGCA